RNAcentral lists this ribosomal RNA (758 nucleotides) under uncultured Fusobacterium sp. RNAcentral's name for it is "bacterial SSU rRNA". It matches the Rfam family "Bacterial small subunit ribosomal RNA", at positions 84 to 859 of the family's 1533-position model. The record is from RNAcentral. Lineage: Bacteria; Fusobacteriati; Fusobacteriota; Fusobacteriia; Fusobacteriales; Fusobacteriaceae.
CUUCGGUUUGGGUGGCGGACGGGUGAGUAACGCGUAAAGAACUUGCCUCACAGUUAGGGACAACAUUUGGAAACGAAUGCUAAUACCUGAUAUUAUGAUUUUAGGGCAUCCUAAGAUUAUGAAAGCUAUAUGCGCUGUGAGAGAGCUUUGCGUCCCAUUAGCUAGUUGGAGAGGUAACGGCUCACCAAGGCGAUGAUGGGUAGCCGGCCUGAGAGGGUGAACGGCCACAAGGGGACUGAGACACGGCCCUUACUCCUACGGGAGGCAGCAGUGGGGAAUAUUGGACAAUGGACCAAAAGUCUGAUCCAGCAAUUCUGUGUGCACGAUGACGUUUUUCGGAAUGUAAAGUGCUUUCAGUUGGGAAGAAAAAAAUGACGGUACCAACAGAAGAAGUGACGGCUAAAUACGUGCCAGCAGCCGCGGUAAUACGUAUGUCACAAGCGUUAUCCGGAUUUAUUGGGCGUAAAGCGCGUCUAGGUGGUUAUGUAAGUCUGAUGUGAAAAUGCAGGGCUCAACUCUGUAUUGCGUUGGAAACUGUAUGACUAGAGUACUGGAGAGGUAAGCGGAACUACAAGUGUAGAGGCGAAAUUCGUAGAUAUUUGUAGGAAUGCCGAUGGGGAAGCCAGCUUACUGGACAGAUACUGACGCUAAAGCGCGAAAGCGUGGGUAGCAAACAGGAUUAGAUACCCUGGUAGUCCACGCCGUAAACGAUGAUUACUAGGUGUUGGGGGUCGAACCUCAGCGCCCAAGCUAACGCG